CUUGGCACUCGCGAACACCGCGA
RNAcentral lists this microRNA (23 nucleotides) under Caenorhabditis brenneri. RNAcentral's name for it is "cbn-miR-790". Its record names the gene cbn-miR-790. Lineage: Eukaryota; Metazoa; Nematoda; Chromadorea; Rhabditida; Rhabditidae. The record is from miRBase by way of RNAcentral.